CGAAGAAAGGGAGGGGGAUAAUCAAUGACUGAACCUCUAAUAGAUGUUGGACGACGUUAAAAAAAAAAAUGUAUCGGCCCUACCCUCGAGGAUUUGACAAAUUAGACUGACCAGAGUGAUAAGAGAUACAGGCAGAAGAGGAGACAUAGACACACACAGAGGAGAAGAUGAUGUGAAAAGGGAGGCAGAGAUCACAGUGGUGUGGCUACAAGCCAAGAAAUACCGAAGCCAUCAGAAGUUGGAAGAGAUUUUCUUCCACCUCUGCCAUCUCUGAGACAGCAAGACCAACCUCUUCUCUUCCUCCUCCUCCUCAGCCUACUCAACAUGAAGACAACAAGGAUGAAGACCUUUAUGAUGAUCCAUUUCCACUUAAUGAAUACCACCAAGAGUGCUGAACAAUCAUCUGAGGACAUCAUUGGGUAUCACUGGCAAAGAGAAGAGAUGAAGAAAAGAUAAGAGAAAGAAAUGAAAGUGGAAGAGGGCAGAAAAAGAGAAACAAAAGUUAGGAGAGUUUUCAGGAGGAGAAAAUAAAGAGAAGACAGAGAAGGAAGUAUCCGGUAAGGAAACAAAUACAGAUGUAAUCCAGUUGGGAUACCAGGCUUUCAUUAGGAUAUUCUCUCCCUUUUUCUCCUUAGAUCCACAUUUGUCAGGACGCCAAUUCACCUAAUCAUAUCUGCCAUAUAUUUUCCAUCUAAGUCACCUUGACAAGCUAUCAUUAACCUUGUAGCCCAUGUGUGUCUCAGAAUCCACUCUUCUCCCCACCUACUGGCAUGUAUAUUUAUUUUUAUGUAAGUAUUUCUGCUGGAAUUUAUCUAUUAUUGUACUUUAUUCACCAUUCUUCCUUUCUUGCCACUAAUAAAAUUGCAGUUUCAUGAGA
Gorilla gorilla gorilla (western lowland gorilla) is the source of this 877-nucleotide long non-coding RNA. RefSeq lists it as uncharacterized. The record is from RefSeq and is a predicted model, not a curated record. Lineage: Eukaryota; Metazoa; Chordata; Mammalia; Primates; Hominidae. The transcript is spliced from 4 exons.